Peromyscus eremicus (cactus mouse) is the source of this 1590-nucleotide long non-coding RNA. RefSeq lists it as uncharacterized. Lineage: Eukaryota; Metazoa; Chordata; Mammalia; Rodentia; Cricetidae. The transcript has 3 exons. The record is from RefSeq and is a predicted model, not a curated record.
UAGGAAAAAUGAGGUAACACAGGCCAGCCUGCAGCCAGGAGACUUUUUGGUCCCCCUGAUCCACUGCAGUUCCUGAAUGGGUCUGUGUUCCUGUGAGAACACUGAGAAACGUCUUUUAUGCUCGCUUUUCACUUCAGUGUGUGGUAAUGGGUUGUUAUUGUCUCUGAGAUUUCACAUUUAAACCCUCCUUCCUUCCUUGGUCUUUCCUCAGGAUGACAGGAUUCAGGAAGACGGCCCCAUAUUUGAUCCACGGAGCCCAACCUAUAUGCAAGACGUUAUCAAUCAUAUACCAAAAGCCUAUAAGGAUGGGAAUUACCUAUUUAUAGGUAUAAUAUUGACUAUCUACCAUAGGUUUGUGACCACCUGGGAGAUGCUGGACUUAAUUAUGGACACGUAUGGACCUUUGCAGCCAGACUGUGUGGAGGAUCAGGAAAAAAGGAAGUGAGUUGGCUUGGGUGACGAGGGAGGUAAGAGCCCCUCUACACAGUGGGAUGUCUGGGGUGGCUAGGGUUGAGGAAUGAGCUGUUACCAGUCACCCUGCUCUUGGGAUUCCCACUAGAGGGAUGGUACCAGAGACUUCACGUGCAGGUGGAGAAAAACAGAAAUAAAUCUCCAUUGAUCUCCUUGGUCCUGAGGAGCACAGGGAUUGACGGAAGCUAAAGGGCCCUAGGGGAAACCAUCCCCACUACAGCCCAGCCCAGUCUGCCCAGUCCCUCCUCCAAGGGACAGAAAGUGUCUCGAGCCCUGUCCAUACAGCUCUACACUCCUGACCACCAUGCCCAGCAGCACAUGGGCUGGGCAGCCUUUUCCUCAUCUAAGGGACACUGCUGUGCUGGUGAAGUGAGGCCAGGCUUCUGACUCUACUUCCCUCCAACCUGGUCCUCCCUGCAGUGCCUUGUUAUCCUUCCUAUCAAUAUGGACGUCAAAACAACCCCAGGACUUCAGGUCUCCAAACCUUGCCGUGGCCAAGAGGCUCGUGAAAUAUCUAUGGCCCGAUGAGCCUGCAAAAGACUUCACUCUCCAAGGGGAGGCGCUGGAGGAGCAGGACUGUAAAAUGGAUGAUGGACUCCUCAGGGAAGUUAAUACAGAGGCACCCAUGCAGGAUGCAUUAGGGAUGGUGGAGACUCUACAUGUGGGACCAACUUCUGUGGCAGAGCCCCGGGAAUUUCUGAAAACCCAAGAUGACACAGACCUGGCCCUUGGGGAACCAACCGUGCCAGAAGCUGGACCAGUACCACUUCAAACUUCAGACCAGCCUCUGCCCACUGAUGCACAGCCACCUCUAGAAGUGGCUGCAGAUGUUCCAGAUGCUGGGCGGCUCUUUCUAGUUUCUGUUGUGCAACUGGGUGCACCAGAGCCCUUUUUCCCUCUGCCUGAUGUUGACAUAGAUUGAGAUUGUUUAUUACCUGCCGAGUUCCACCCAGGACCAGCUGUCCUUCCCGUCUUUAGAGAAAGUAUCUCCUUUCGUUGUGUUUAAAACUUUUUAUUGUUGUUUUCAAAGUUAAUAUUAAUAUUGCCUUUAAUUAUAUUUAAUUAUUUUUCCUUGUUUUUUCAAUAUUAAUAUGUAUUAAUAAACAUUAAGUAUGCCUA